This 253-nucleotide ribosomal RNA is filed under the name uncultured bacterium. RNAcentral's name for it is "partial 16S ribosomal RNA". It matches the Rfam family "Bacterial small subunit ribosomal RNA", at positions 524 to 776 of the family's 1533-position model. The record is from RNAcentral.
UACAGAGGUCCCAAGCGUUGUUCGGAUUCACUGGGCGUAAAGGGUGCGUAGGUGGUUAGGUAAGUCCGAUGUGAAAUCUCCAGGCUCAACCUGGAAAUGGCAUUGGAUACUAUCUAGCUUGAGGAGUGGAGGGGGGACUGGAAUUCUCGGUGUAGCAGUGAAAUGCGUAGAGAUCGGGAGGAACACCAGUGGCGAAGGCGGCUACCUGGACCAGCAUUGACACUCAAGCACGAAAGCGUGGGGAGCAAACAGG